This 22-nucleotide microRNA is filed under the name Dasypus novemcinctus (nine-banded armadillo). RNAcentral describes it as "dno-miR-489-5p". Its record names the gene dno-miR-489-5p. Lineage: Eukaryota; Metazoa; Chordata; Mammalia; Cingulata; Dasypodidae. The record is from miRBase by way of RNAcentral.
GGUCGUAUGUGUGGUGCCAUUU